Molecule: ribosomal RNA, 475 nt
Filed under: uncultured bacterium
Lineage: Bacteria
Description: bacterial SSU rRNA
Rfam family: Bacterial small subunit ribosomal RNA
Source: RNAcentral
GACGAACGCUGGCGGCGUGCCUAACACAUGCAAGUCGAACGGGGAUCAGAGAAAGGUUUACCUUUAUCUGAUUCUAGUGGCGAACGGGUGAGUAACGCGUGGGCAACCUGCCUCAUACAGGGGGAUAACACUGGGAAACUAGUGCUAAUACCGCAUAACGUCACGAUAUGGCAUCAUAAUGUGACCAAAGGAGCAAUCCGGUAUGAGAUGGGCCCGCGUCCGAUUAGCUAGUUGGUGAGGUAACAGCUCACCAAGGCGACGAUCGGUAGCCGAACUGAGAGGUUGAUCGGCCACAUUGGGACUGAGACACGGCCCAGACUCCUACGGGGGGCAGCAGUGGGGGAUCUUGCACAAUGGGCGAAAGCCUGAUGCAGCGACGCCGCGUGAGCGAAGAAGGCCUUCGGGUUGUAAAGCUCUGUCUGGAGGGACGAACAAAAUGACGGUACCUCCGGAGGAAGCCACGGCUAACUACGUG